GACGAACGCUGGCGGCGUGCCUAAUACAUGCAAGUUGAGCGCUGACGGAUGGUACUUGUACCAACUGGAUGAGCAGCGAACGGGUGAGUAACGCGUGGGGAAUCUGCCUUUGAUCGGGGGACAACAUUUGGAAACGAAUGCUAAUACCGCAUCAAACCUUUAAACACAAGUUUUAAGUUUGAAAGAUGCCAUUGCAUCACUCAAAGAUGAUCCGCCGUUGAAUUAGUUAGUUGGUGGGGUAAAGGCCCACCAAGGCGAUGAUACGUAGCCGGCCUGAGAGGUGGAUCGGCAACAUUGGAACGGGAAACCGGCCCAAACUCCUCCGGGAGGAACCAGAGGGGAACUUUGGCCAUUGAGGGAAAGCCUGCCCAAGCAAUCCCGCGUGGGUGAAGAAGGUUUUCGGUUUGUAAAGCCCUUUUGUUGGGAAAGAAGAUCGGGAGGGUGGAAACCCGCUCAAGUGACGGUAACUAACCAAGAAGGGACGGCUAACUUCGUG
RNAcentral lists this ribosomal RNA (496 nucleotides) under uncultured bacterium. Its description in RNAcentral is "partial 16S ribosomal RNA". It matches the Rfam family "Bacterial small subunit ribosomal RNA", at positions 28 to 507 of the family's 1533-position model. The record is from RNAcentral.